RNAcentral lists this transfer RNA (71 nucleotides) under human gut metagenome. It matches the Rfam family "tRNA". From Rfam's summary of the family: Transfer RNA (tRNA) molecules are approximately 80 nucleotides in length. Their secondary structure includes four short double-helical elements and three loops (D, anti-codon, and T loops). Further hydrogen bonds mediate the characteristic L-shaped molecular structure. tRNAs have two regions of fundamental functional importance: the anti-codon, which is responsible for specific mRNA codon recognition, and the 3' end, to which the tRNAs corresponding amino acid is attached (by aminoacyl-tRNA synthetases). tRNAs cope with the degeneracy of the genetic code in two manners: having more than one tRNA (with a specific anti-codon) for a particular amino acid; and 'wobble' base-pairing, i.e. permitting non-standard base-pairing at the 3rd anti-codon position. The record is from RNAcentral.
GGGGUAUAGCUCAGCUGGAAGAGCAUUUGCUUUGCAAGCAAGGGGUCAUCGGUUCGAAUCCGAUUAUCUCC